CCUUCGAUAGCUCAGUUGGAAGAGCGUGAGACUGUAAUGGAUAACCUAGAACAUCUCAAGGUCACUGGUUCGAUCCCGGUUCGAAGGA
This is a non-coding RNA of Trametes meyenii, 88 nucleotides long. The record is from the annotation of a GenBank genome assembly. NCBI's taxonomy places the organism in Eukaryota, Fungi, Basidiomycota, Agaricomycetes, Polyporales, Polyporaceae.